RNAcentral lists this transfer RNA (76 nucleotides) under Prasinoderma coloniale. RNAcentral describes it as "tRNA-Leu". It matches the Rfam family "tRNA". From Rfam's summary of the family: Transfer RNA (tRNA) molecules are approximately 80 nucleotides in length. Lineage: Eukaryota; Viridiplantae; Prasinodermophyta; Prasinodermophyceae; Prasinodermales; Prasinodermaceae. The record is from RNAcentral.
ACCUUUGUGGCGAAAUCGGUAAACGCAGUAUAUUCAAAAUAUACGUUUUUUAAGGGUUCGAGUCCCUUCAGAGGUA